GGGGCUGUAGCUCAGCUGGGAGAGCGCCGGCUUUGCAAGCCGGAAGUCACCGGUUCGAUCCCGGUCAGCUCCACCA
Molecule: transfer RNA, 76 nt
Filed under: Sandaracinus sp.
Lineage: Bacteria; Pseudomonadati; Myxococcota; Polyangiales; Sandaracinaceae
Also listed under: 3 other names
Description: tRNA-Ala
Rfam family: tRNA
About the family: Transfer RNA (tRNA) molecules are approximately 80 nucleotides in length. Their secondary structure includes four short double-helical elements and three loops (D, anti-codon, and T loops).
Source: RNAcentral